Molecule: ribosomal RNA, 505 nt
Filed under: uncultured Butyricicoccus sp.
Lineage: Bacteria; Bacillati; Bacillota; Clostridia; Eubacteriales; Butyricicoccaceae
Description: partial 16S ribosomal RNA
Source: RNAcentral
CACGUAGUUAGCCGGAGCUUAUUCUUUGGGUACCGUCAUUGUUUUCGUCCCCAAUUAAAGAUCUUUACAACCCGAAGGCCUUCUUCAAUCACGCGGCGUUGCCGCGUCAGGGUUGCCCCCAUUGCGCAAUAUUCCCCACUGCUGCCUCCCGUAGGAGUCUGGGCCGUGUCUCAGUCCCAAUGUGGCCGUUCAACCUCUCAGUCCGGCUACUGAUCGUCGCCUUGGUGGGCCGUUACCCCGCAACUAGCUAAUCAGACGCGAGCUCAUCCAAAGGCAAUAAAUCUUGGCAGCAAAAUCAUGCGAUCUCACUGCGUUAUGCGGUAUUAGCAGCCGUUUCGGCUGUUAUCCCCCACUAAGGGCAGAUUGCUCACGCGUUACUCACCCGUCGCCACUAACUUAUGAACUUCCGACUCCCGAAAGUACGUUUACCAAAAUACGUCCGUUCGACUUGCAUGUGUUAGGCACGCCGCAGCGUUCAUCCUGACGCCAGGACUACGAAACUCUA